Molecule: ribosomal RNA, 483 nt
Filed under: uncultured bacterium
Lineage: Bacteria
Description: partial 16S ribosomal RNA
Rfam family: Bacterial small subunit ribosomal RNA
Source: RNAcentral
UUGAACGCUGGCGGCAGGCCUAACACAUGCAAGUCGAGCGGAUGAAGGGAGCUUGCUCCUGGAUUCAGCGGCGGACGGGUGAGUAAUGCCUAGGAAUCUGCCUGGUAGUGGGGGAUAACGUCCGGAAACGGGCGCUAAUACCGCAUACGUCCUGAGGGAGAAAGUGGAGGAUCUUCGGACCUCACGCUAUCAGAUGAGCCUAGGUCGGAUUAGCUAGUUGGUGGGGUAAAGGCCUAUCAAGGCGACGAUCCGUAACUGGUCUGAGAGGAUGAUCAGUCACACUGGAACUGAGACACGGUCCAGACUCCUACGGGAGGCAGCAGUGGGGAAUAUUGGACAAUGGGCGAAAGCCUGAUCCAGCCAUGCCGCGUGUGUGAAGAAGGUCUUCGGAUUGUAAAGCACUUUAAGUUGGGAGGAAGGGCAGUAAGUUAAUACCUUGCUGUUUUGACGUUACCAACAGAAUAAGCACCGGCUAACUUCGUG